RNAcentral lists this ribosomal RNA (2969 nucleotides) under Streptococcus pneumoniae. RNAcentral's name for it is "16S ribosomal RNA". The stretch from base 1382 to 2969 matches the Rfam family "Bacterial small subunit ribosomal RNA". Lineage: Bacteria; Bacillati; Bacillota; Bacilli; Lactobacillales; Streptococcaceae. The record is from RNAcentral.
AUUGUUGGUCUAGUCUUGUCGAAUGCUCGCGUUGUCCAUAAGGUUACAAUUGUACCACGCGGCCGUGCAGGCGGAUACAUGAUUGCACUUCCUAAAGAGGAUCAAAUGCUUCUAUCUAAAGAAGAUAUGAAAGAGCAAUUAGCUGGCUUAAUGGGUGGACGUGUAGCUGAAGAAAUUAUCUUUAAUGUCCAAACUACAGGAGCUUCAAACGACUUUGAACAAGCGACACAAAUGGCACGUGCAAUGGUUACAGAGUACGGUAUGAGUGAAAAACUUGGCCCAGUACAAUAUGAAGGAAACCAUGCUAUGUUUGGUGCACAGAAUCCUCAAAAAUCAAUUUCAGAACAAACAGCUUAUGAAAUUGAUGAAGAGGUUCGUUCAUUAUUAAAUGAGGCACGAAAUAAAGCUGCUGAAAUUAUUCAGUCAAAUCGUGAAACUCACAAGUUAAUUGCAGAAGCAUUAUUGAAAUACGAAACAUUGGAUAGUACACAAAUUAAAGCUCUUUACGAAACAGGAAAGAUGCCUGAAGCAGUAGAAGAGGAAUCUCAUGCACUAUCCUAUGAUGAAGUAAAGUCAAAAAUGAAUGACGAAAAAUAACCCUGAGAGAGGCUGGAGCCUCUCUUUUUUGUGCAGUUUAGGAGCUAAAGGGAACAGAAUGGAGAAAAUGGAACAAAUGUGUUUUCUAAUCUGUUAGACUGUAUCUAGAAAGGGGAAAAUUAUGAUUAAAGAAUUGUAUGAAGAAGUCCAAGGGACUGUGUAUAAGUGUAGAAAUGAAUAUUACCUUCAUUUAUGGGAAUUGUCGGAUUGGGACCAAGAAGGCAUGCUCUGCUUACAUGAAUUGAUUAGUAGAGAAGAAGGACUGGUAGACGAUAUUCCACGUUUAAGGAAAUAUUUCAAAACCAAGUUUCGAAAUCGAAUUUUAGACUAUAUCCGUAAGCAGGAAAGUCAGAAGCGUAGAUACGAUAAAGAACCCUAUGAAGAAGUGGGUGAGAUCAGUCAUCGUAUAAGUGAGGGGGGUCUCUGGCUAGAUGAUUAUUAUCUCUUUCAUGAAACACUAAGAGAUUAUAGAAACAAACAAAGUAAAGAGAAACAAGAAGAACUAGAACGCGUCUUAAGCAAUGAACGAUUUCGAGGGCGUCAAAGAGUAUUAAGAGACUUACGCAUUGUGUUUAAGGAGUUUACUAUCCGUACCCANNNNNNNNNNNNNNNNNNNNNNNNNNNNNNNAAAAGACUGUAUAAUAGUAAGAGUUGAAAAUAACAACUCAGGUCCGUUGGUCAAGGGGUUAAGACACCGCCUUUUCACGGCGGUAACACGGGUUCGAAUCCCGUACGGACUAUGGUAUGUUGCGUCAGGACCACUUGAUGAAAAAAAGUUUAAAAAAACUUAAAAAUCUUCAAAAAAGUGUUGACAAGCGAAAGCAGUUGUGAUAUACUAAUAUAGUUGUCGCUUGAGAGAAGCAAGUGACAAAGACCUUUGAAAACUGAACAAGACGAACCAAUGUGCAGGGCGCUACAACAUAAGUUGUAGUACUGAACAAUNNNNNNNNNNNNNNNNNNNNNNNNNNNNNNNNNNNNNNNNNNNNNNNNNNNNNNNNNNNNNNNNNNNNNNNNNNNNNNNNNNNNNNNNNNNCUUAAAAGGUGCACUUGCAUCACUACCAGAUGGACCUGCGUUGUAUUAGCUAGUUGGUGGGGUAACGGCUCACCAAGGCGACGAUACAUAGCCGACCUGAGAGGGUGAUCGGCCACACUGGGACUGAGACACGGCCCAGACUCCUACGGGAGGCAGCAGUAGGGAAUCUUCGGCAAUGGACGGAAGUCUGACCGAGCAACGCCGCGUGAGUGAAGAAGGUUUUCGGAUCGUAAAGCUCUGUUGUAAGAGAAGAACGAGUGUGAGAGUGGAAAGUUCACACUGUGACGGUAUCUUACCAGAAAGGGACGGCUAACUACGUGCCAGCAGCCGCGGUAAUACGUAGGUCCCGAGCGUUGUCCGGAUUUAUUGGGCGUAAAGCGAGCGCAGGCGGUUAGAUAAGUCUGAAGUUAAAGGCUGUGGCUUAACCAUAGUAGGCUUUGGAAACUGUUUAACUUGAGUGCAAGAGGGGAGAGUGGAAUUCCAUGUGUAGCGGUGAAAUGCGUAGAUAUAUGGAGGAACACCGGUGGCGAAAGCGGCUCUCUGGCUUGUAACUGACGCUGAGGCUCGAAAGCGUGGGGAGCAAACAGGAUUAGAUACCCUGGUAGUCCACGCUGUAAACGAUGAGUGCUAGGUGUUAGACCCUUUCCGGGGUUUAGUGCCGUAGCUAACGCAUUAAGCACUCCGCCUGGGGAGUACGACCGCAAGGUUGAAACUCAAAGGAAUUGACGGGGGCCCGCACAAGCGGUGGAGCAUGUGGUUUAAUUCGAAGCAACGCGAAGAACCUUACCAGGUCUUGACAUCCCUCUGACCGCUCUAGAGAUAGAGUUUUCCUUCGGGACAGAGGUGACAGGUGGUGCAUGGUUGUCGUCAGCUCGUGUCGUGAGAUGUUGGGUUAAGUCCCGCAACGAGCGCAACCCCUAUUGUUAGUUGCCAUCAUUUAGUUGGGCACUCUAGCGAGACUGCCGGUAAUAAACCGGAGGAAGGUGGGGAUGACGUCAAAUCAUCAUGCCCCUUAUGACCUGGGCUACACACGUGCUACAAUGGCUGGUACAACGAGUCGCAAGCCGGUGACGGCAAGCUAAUCUCUUAAAGCCAGUCUCAGUUCGGAUUGUAGGCUGCAACUCGCCUACAUGAAGUCGGAAUCGCUAGUAAUCGCGGAUCAGCACGCCGCGGUGAAUACGUUCCCGGGCCUUGUACACACCGCCCGUCACACCACGAGAGUUUGUAACACCCGAAGUCGGUGAGGUAACCGUAAGGAGCCAGCCGCCUAAGGUGGGAUAGAUGAUUGGGGUGAAGUCGUAACAAGGUAGCCGUAUCGGAAGGUGCGGCUGGAUCACCU